UAUGGAACUAAACCUUCAAGUUGAUGAACUGGAUUCAAACCUCUUAUCUAUUGAGGAAAUUGUGUCUGAAAUACGAAAUGAAAAUACUGCUUUUGCUACAACUUGGGGCGAAAUUGUUGGCUUGGUUGAAGACCUUAUGAGCGACCAAGACCCACAGAACGAGUUCGUCCUUGAUGACCCAACCAAAGAGUUAUACCUUGGAGACCAGCAAAAUCCUGAAAAAGAGUUUUACAGCAAUAGUACUCAUUGUGAGUUAUCAAGACAAUACCCACUGAACAAGUUAUACCUUGAUGAGCCAGAAUACAAGUUUUACCUUGGAGACUCACAAAUUUUGAAAAAAUCAGGAAAUGAGUUCUGCCUUGAUGGUUUAAAUAACUACCUUGGAGACUCAGGAAAAGGGUUCUGCCAAGAUGGUUCUAAAUAUGGGGCCUACCUUGGAGACUCACAAAUUUUGAAAAAAUCAGUAAAUGAGUUCUGCCUUGAUGGUUUAAAUAACUACCUUGGAGACUCAGGAAAAGGGUUCUGCCAAGAUGGUUCUAAAUAUGGGGCCUACCUUGGAGACUCACAAAUUUUGAAAAAAUCAGUAAAUGAGUUCUGCCUUGAUGGUUUAAAUAACUACCUUGGAGACUCAGGAAAAGGGUUCUGCCAAGAUGGUUCUAAAUAUGGGGCCUACCUUGGAGACUCACAAAUUUUGAAAAAAUCAGUAAAUGAGUUCUGCCUUGAUGGUUUAAAUAACUACCUUGGAGACUCAGGAAAAGGGUUCUGCCAAGAUGGUUCUAAAUAUGGGGCCUACCUUGGAGACUCACAAAUUUUGAAAAAAUCAGUAAAUGAGUUCUGCCUUGAUGGUUUAAAUAACUACCUUGGAGACUCAGGAAAAGGGUUCUGCCAAGAUGGUUCUAAAUAUGGGGCCUACCUUGGAGACUCACAAAUUUUGAAAAAAUCAGUAAAUGAGUUCUGCCUUGAUGGUUUAAAUAACUACCUUGGAGACUCAGGAAAAGGGUUCUGCCAAGAUGGUUCUAAAUAUGGGGCCUACCUUGGAGACUCACAAAUUUUGAAAAAAUCAGUAAAUGAGUUAUCCUUAAGAGACUUUGUAAGUUGGUUUUACUUUGAAUACUUGAAAUGUGGGUUCUGGAUUGAUAACUCACAAUGAUAUAUAUAAGAGACACCUCCUGAGCCUCAGAUUAUUUUUUGCAUAAGCCACGCCCACUUUUUCAUAAUCCACGCUCACUUUUCCUAAGCCCUGCCCACUUUUCACGAGAUGUUUUAAACCACGCCCACUUUCCUAAGCCCCGCCCACUUUUCGUGAGGUGUUUUUUAAACCACGCCCACUUUUACUAAGGUCCACCCACUUUUACUAAGCCCCACCUACUCUUACAUCAUUUCCAGUUCAUCUCUGAUUCAAAGAAAUCACGAGAAAAUUCUAGAAUGUUAUUGUUCUGAAAAAAUUUCCAAGGCUUGUCUGGGCUGUUCGGCAAUUUUUUUCAAGCAAUCCUCCAUUUUGAAAAAAAAUUUCUCCAUUCUGACAAGGCUUGCCUGGGCUUGCCCAGGGAAUUUUCAAAGAAUCCUCCAUUUUGAAAAAAAAAAUUCUCCAUUCUCACAAGGCUUGCCGGAGCUUGCCUGGGGUUGCUUCGGGAAACCAUGCCCAACAGUCUUUCCCUAUAAAAGCCUCAAGCCCAGGCUCCAUUUUAAACAUAUUUUUUGCUGGCAAUGGAAUGCUGUGUGCUUGCUUGGAGCUCUACUACUUGUAUGGAACUGGGGGGG
This is a long non-coding RNA of Eptatretus burgeri (inshore hagfish), 1761 nucleotides long. The record is from Ensembl. NCBI's taxonomy places the organism in Eukaryota, Metazoa, Chordata, Myxini, Myxiniformes, Myxinidae.